Molecule: transfer RNA, 72 nt
Filed under: Camelus bactrianus (Bactrian camel)
Lineage: Eukaryota; Metazoa; Chordata; Mammalia; Artiodactyla; Camelidae
Also listed under: 2 other names
Rfam family: tRNA
About the family: Transfer RNA (tRNA) molecules are approximately 80 nucleotides in length.
Source: Rfam by way of RNAcentral
GAGGGUAUAGAUCAAUGGUAGAGCGCGUGCUUAACAUGCAUAAGGUCCUGGGUUCAAUCCCUAGUACCUCUA